UGAGAGAACAGCAGGAAAAGGGCAAGAGAAAGCCUCUGACUUGGCACACUACGAGGAUAACAAGGAUAUUGCAAAAAACACCCCUGGGUUUUGGUGCAAAAAGGUUUUAUGAAAAAUUUUCCCAUAAGAAAAAGUAGAAACUGCAUUGAGCUGAGAAAGUGACACUACAUUAUCACCCAAUUUUUGGCCCAACAGGCACACCACCAAAAGGGCAGUGUGUGGUUUUAAACCUCAAUUCCAGUAAAAAAAGCUUGUACUAUGUACACAUUGACAUAAAGAUCCAGUUUAAUUUGCAUUUUUCAGUGCAGACUGAGAAGCCCUCUCUUGAACAGGAGUAACAGUGAGAAAUGCCCAGUGGUCGUCGGCUUCCCCAAAGGGCAUCAGAAGAAAUACAGGACCGUUUCCCUCCCUAAAAAACAUGCAAGAGGAAACAGGCCAAAAUGGCUAACCAAUCAGAAAUAUGCUUCAGUUUUGUUGCCUCCACCCCCAAAUAUUAAGGAACAGACAAUUUCUGAUCUAUGUCACAGCAGAACUAUUUGCAUAUUGGAUCUAUGAAAAUCUUUCUGCUUUGGCUGAAGUAUAUUCUAAAACUUGUCUAUUCUAUAGCCUGAGAAUUGAAGAUAAAAUGGGAGAGGUGGAGUAAAGGAAGAAAGCUGAUAAUGAUUCAUGGGAUAUAAUGUUUGUUUAUAGGAUUUAAUGAAGGCUGGAGGCCUUUUUGCUUAAGGAACCAACACAGGUAGUAUGGGGAGCAGUAUGGAAAUGGCUCAUGUUGCCCCCUGCCACCCAUGCCUCCCCAAACAUAUUUCUGAUUGGUGGUGUAAGACAAUUGUAAACUCUUGAGAAAUAUUGUUGCAGUUCCACAAAUCAAUGGUUUCAAUGACUCUGGAAAAGUCUUUAAGGACAAUGGAUGUGAUUACAAAUAUAAAAGUCUAGAAGGUGCCAGGUUUCUACCUAGGAACAAUCUGUUCCUUCCUUUCAGGCAUCAUUUUGUAAUGGUGAAGAGGGAAAAGAUGGCGAGAGACCAAGAAGUGAUGAAAAAGGGCCUCAACAGUCAGCAGAAAACAGGACCCACAGCAGUUCUUCAGAGAGCCUGAGGGGGCGCCCUGGGGCACACAGGGAAGGCUUGCAUAGAUUGAGCGGUUGCUGAGAAUGCAUAAUAGUGUUUCCCUAUGGACAGUCUCACAGCACAGGGCUGAUUGAGCGGAAAAACGCGGCCAGGCCAGGGCCACAUGGGACAACGACCAUCAAGCUACACAUAUUGCACCAAGAAUAGUUCCUUAAAAUGGAUGCUCCUGGGAUGUGAAUAAAGAAAAUACGUCUGAAAGGUGAGGAUUUCAAACAGUAGAUUUCUUCAUCCUUCAAAUUUCUGACCCAUGAUGGCAGGCAUUGUACCUCAUGCCUCCUGCUCACCCACUUUUCCCAGAGGUGAGCACACAUGGGCCCUUCACUUGGAGAAGCUGCUGGUGAGGCCCAUCUCCUCCUCCCCCUGCAGUAGUGCUUCAAUGGGAAUCAGAUUGGACGGGGUGUCCAGGCUCUGGAGGGAUAGAAACUCUGACACAUCCAUGGCACUUAAUGUUUCUGUCUGAGGGUCUGAAGGAGUCUCUGCUUGUCGGCUUUGCUCACAGGAGGAGGGCAUGGUAGAGGAUGAUGACCCGGGAACAGGGGCUGAAGAAAAAGUCUGCGCUGGGAGCUGCAGGCUGGGCCCAUCAGGAGCCUGGGGGCUCGGCUCUGGAGGGGGUGGGGAGGAGCAGCCCUUUCUCCUGCUGGAUGCCCGCUCCUUUGCAGAGUCCCGGCAUGCACACUGACACUGACAUGCCUCUUCUUGUUUGAUGAUGAUCACAGGAACACUGAGGCCAAUCUGCUGGACAGAGCUCCCUGCGAGAGAGGCAAGAGAGACUGCUCUUCAAGUAGCUGCAGGGGCAGGAGCAUGAGGGACAGGGAUACAUGGACUAGGUGAGAGCAGAGUGCCAUGGGAACCAUGGGAAGGAUGGUUGCCACACUUCGGGCUUCGUUCUGCUUUAAAUUGGACCACAUGCCCUCUGAGGUAAAAGAGGGACACUCCCCAGCCCGAGACAAAGUCCCGUUUCCUUAGAAAGUCACACACACGAUCUAGAUGCACCCUGUAUUUCCAGCUUCAUUUCCAGUCAUUCUCCAUUGCACCCUCCCUGUGGAGGCCUACUUUUCCUGACACGUUCUUUAUACCCCUGGGCCUGUGGGCUCUUCCUUACGACUAAAAUCCCUGGACACCUCUCUUCUGGAGAACCGACACUCAUCUUUCAAGACAUAGCUCACUCCCCCACUCUCUGUAGGCCUAUGCAGAGGACUAGCUUGGAUGAAGCCGGUACCCAGCCUCCCGGCACACAUGCACAGUGCUGCUGUUUUCCUUCCACACCUCUCUCCUUGCGGUACAGGACCUGCUUGGUUC
This 2425-nucleotide long non-coding RNA is filed under the name Pan troglodytes (chimpanzee). RNAcentral describes it as "long non-coding RNA NONPTRT000192". Lineage: Eukaryota; Metazoa; Chordata; Mammalia; Primates; Hominidae. The record is from RNAcentral.